UCAAGAGGGAAACAACCCAGACUACCAGCUAAGGUCCCUAAAUCUUACUUAAGUGGAAAACGAUGUGAAGUUACUUAAACAACCAGGAGGUUGGCUUAGAAGCAGCCAUCCUUUAAAGAAAGCGUAAUAGCUCACUGGUCUAGUGAUUUUGCGCGGAAAAUAUAACGGGGCUAAAGUAAGUACCGAAGCUGUAGACUUGCACACAACUUAGAUUAUUUAAGUUUAGAAUAUGAGAAACUAAGUUAUAUGUUUAGUUAUAUUUUUACUGAUUUUUAUAGAGUAAAGAUAGAAAUAAAACUUAGUAAAAUCAGUAAAAAUAUUCUUAGACUAAAGUUAAGUAGUUUAAGUUGUGUGCAAGUGGUAGGAGAGCGUUCUAUUUGCGUCGAAGGUAUACCGGUAAGGAGUGCUGGAGCGAAUAGAAGUGAGCAUGCAGGCAUGAGUAGCGAUAAUUAAUGUGAGAAUCAUUAACGCCGUAAACCCAAGGUUUCCUACGCGAUGCUCGUCAUCGUAGGGUUAGUCGGGUCCUAAGUCGAGUCCGAAAGGGGUAGACGAUGGCAAAUUGGUUAAUAUUCCAAUACCAACAUUAGUGUGCGAUGGAAGGACGCUUAGGGCUAAGGGGGCUAGCGGAUGGAAGUGCUAGUCUAAGGUCGUAGGAGGUUAUACAGGCAAAUCCGUAUAACAAUACUCCGAGAACUGAAAGGCUUUUUGAAGUCUUCGGAUGGAUAGAAGAACCCCUGAUGCCGUCGAGCCAAGAAAAGUUUCUAAGUUUAGCUAAUGUUGCCCGUACCGUAAACCGACACAGGUGGGUGGGAUGAGUAUUCUAAGGCGCGUGGAAGAACUCUCUUUAAGGAACUCUGCAAAAUAGCACCGUAUCUUCGGUAUAAGGUGUGGUUAGCUUUGUAUUAGGAUUUACUCCGAAAGCAAGGAAACUUACAACAAAGAGUCCCUCCCGACUGUUUACCAAAAACACAGCACUCUGCUAACUCGUAAGAGGAUGUAUAGGGUGUGACGCCUGCCCGGUGCUCGAAGGUUAAUUGAUGGGGUUAGCAUUAGCGAAGCUCUUGAUCGAAGCCCGAGUAAACGGCGGCCGUAACUAUAACGGUCCUAAGGUAGCGAAAUUCCUUGUCGGUUAAAUACCGACCUGCAUGAAUGGCGUAACGAGAUGGGAGCUGUCUCAAAGAGGGAUCCAGUGAAAUUGUAGUGGAGGUGAAAAUUCCUCCUACCCGCGGCAAGACGGAAAGACCCCGUGGACCUUUACUACAGCUUGACACUGCUACUUGGAUAAGAAUGUGCAGGAUAGGUGGGAGGCUUUGAGUAUAUGACGCCAGUUGUAUAUGAGCCAUUGUUGAGAUACCACUCUUUCUUAUUUGGGUAGCUAACCAGCUUGAGUUAUCCUCAAGUGGGACAAUGUCUGGUGGGUAGUUUGACUGGGGCGGUCGCCUCCCAAAUAAUAACGGAGGCUUACAAAGGUUGGCUCAGAACGGUUGGAAAUCGUUCGUAGAGUAUAAAGGUAUAAGCCAGCUUAACUGCAAGACAUACAAGUCAAGCAGAGACGAAAGUCGGUCUUAGUGAUCCGGUGGUUCUGUGUGGAAGGGCCAUCGCUCAAAGGAUAAAAGGUACCCCGGGGAUAACAGGCUGAUCUCCCCCAAGAGCUCACAUCGACGGGGAGGUUUGGCACCUCGAUGUCGGCUCAUCGCAUCCUGGGGCUGGAGCAGGUCCCAAGGGUAUGGCUGUUCGCCAUUUAAAGCGGUACGCGAGCUGGGUUCAGAACGUCGUGAGACAGUUCGGUCCCUAUCUGCCGUGGGCGUAAGAAGAUUGAAGAGAUUUGACCCUAGUACGAGAGGACCGGGUUGAACAAACCACUGGUGUAGCUGUUGUUCUGCCAAGAGCAUCGCAGCGUAGCUAAGUUUGGAAAGGAUAAACGCUGAAAGCAUCUAAGCGUGAAGCCAACUCUAAGAUGAAUCUUCUCUAAGCUCUCUAGAAGACUACUAGUUUGAUAGGCUGGGUGUGUAAUGGAUGAAAGUCCUUUAGCUGACCAGUACUAAUAGAGCGUUUGGCUUAUCUUUAAUAAAGCAU
RNAcentral lists this ribosomal RNA (2076 nucleotides) under Campylobacter jejuni. RNAcentral describes it as "partial 23S ribosomal RNA". It matches the Rfam family "Bacterial large subunit ribosomal RNA", at positions 1011 to 2925 of the family's 2925-position model. The record is from RNAcentral. Lineage: Bacteria; Pseudomonadati; Campylobacterota; Epsilonproteobacteria; Campylobacterales; Campylobacteraceae.